UUUGGGGGGCAAGUUUGGUGCCAGCAGCCGCGGUAAUUCCAGCUUCAAUAGCGUAUAUUAAAGUUGUUGCAGUUAAAAAGCUCGUAGUUGAAUUUCGGGGUUAGUAGGUUGGUCGUGCCACUGGUAUGUACUGGUCUUACUGAUUCCUCCUUUCUGAAGAACUGUAAUGCCAUUAAUUUGGUGUUGCGGGAAACCAGGACUGUUACUUUGAAAAAAUUAAAGUGUUUAAAGCAGGAAA
RNAcentral lists this ribosomal RNA (238 nucleotides) under Glomeraceae sp. Its description in RNAcentral is "partial small subunit ribosomal RNA". It matches the Rfam family "Eukaryotic small subunit ribosomal RNA", at positions 547 to 787 of the family's 1831-position model. The record is from RNAcentral. Lineage: Eukaryota; Fungi; Glomeromycota; Glomeromycetes; Glomerales; Glomeraceae.